Molecule: transfer RNA, 72 nt
Filed under: Camelus bactrianus (Bactrian camel)
Lineage: Eukaryota; Metazoa; Chordata; Mammalia; Artiodactyla; Camelidae
Also listed under: 2 other names
Rfam family: tRNA
About the family: Transfer RNA (tRNA) molecules are approximately 80 nucleotides in length. Their secondary structure includes four short double-helical elements and three loops (D, anti-codon, and T loops).
Source: Rfam by way of RNAcentral
GUGGGUAUAGCUCAGUGGUAGAGCCCACGCUUAGCAUGCAUGAGGUCCUAGGUUCAAUCCCCACUGCCUCCA